CCUACGGGAGGCAGCAGUGGGGAAUAUUGCACAAUGGGGGAAACCCUGAUGCAGCGACGCCGCGUGAGCGAGGAAGUAUUUCGGUAUGUAAAGCUCUAUCAGCAGGGACGAAAAAAGACGGUACCUGACUAAGAAGCCCCUGCUAACUACGUGCCAGCAGCCGCGGUAAUACGUAGGGGGCAAGCGUUAUCCGGAUUUACUGGGUGUAAAGGGAGCGUAGACGGCAAGGCAAGCCAGAAGUGAAAGGGCAGGGCUCAACCCUGUACAUGCUUUUGGAACUGUGGUGCUAGAGUGCAGGAGAGGCAUAUGGAAUUCCUAGUGUAGCGGUGGAAUGCGUAGAUAUUAGGAGGAACACCAGUGGCGAAGGCGAUAUGCUGGACUGUAACUGACACUGAGGCACGAAAGCGUGGGGAGCAAACAGGAUUAGAUACCCUUGUAGUC
This 441-nucleotide ribosomal RNA is filed under the name uncultured bacterium. RNAcentral describes it as "partial 16S ribosomal RNA". It matches the Rfam family "Bacterial small subunit ribosomal RNA", at positions 338 to 795 of the family's 1533-position model. The record is from RNAcentral.